RNAcentral lists this ribosomal RNA (253 nucleotides) under uncultured bacterium. Its description in RNAcentral is "partial 16S ribosomal RNA". It matches the Rfam family "Bacterial small subunit ribosomal RNA", at positions 524 to 776 of the family's 1533-position model. The record is from RNAcentral.
GACGAACCGUGCGAACGUUGUUCGGAUUCACUGGGCUUAAAGGGCGCGUAGGCGGUCGACCAAGUCUGGGGUGAAAUCUUUCGGCUCAACCGGAAAAGUGCCCCCGAUACUGGCCGGCUAGAGGGAGAUAGGGGCAUGCGGAACUUCCGGUGGAGCGGUGAAAUGCGUAGAUAUCGGAAGGAACGCUGGUGGCGAAAGCGGCGUGCUGGAUCUCUUCUGACGCUGAGGCGCGAAAGCCAGGGGAGCAAACGGG